UACGUAGGGGGCGAGCGUUGUCCGGAAUCAUUGGGCGUAAAGCGCGUGUAGGCGGCUCGGUAAGUCCGGUGUGAAACCUUGGGGCUCAACCCCAAGCCUGCACUGGAUACUGUCGAGCUUGAGUCCGGGAGGGGAGAGCGGAAUUCCUAGUGUAGCGGUGAAAUGCGCAGAUAUUAGGAAGAACACCGGUGGCAAAGGCGGCUCUCUGGAACGGUACUGACGCUGAGACGCGAAAGCGUGGGGAGCGAACAGG
RNAcentral lists this ribosomal RNA (253 nucleotides) under uncultured bacterium. RNAcentral's name for it is "partial 16S ribosomal RNA". It matches the Rfam family "Bacterial small subunit ribosomal RNA", at positions 524 to 776 of the family's 1533-position model. The record is from RNAcentral.